CCUCCCGCCUCCAAUGACCGAAAAGAAAAACCCAUCAUUUCGAGUGAUCUGCAGCGCCAUCAACAAAGACGAGAGCUCAUGGCGACGGCGGCAAUGGACAUCAGAUCCGGUGGACAGGUUCCCCUUGCUGGAUCUUGCAUCUAGCGAUUUCGCGCCGGCCGGUGAGCCAGAGUCAGCUUCUGAAUCGAGCAUGGGAGAUGUGGGCGACGCGCCGCUUACAAUCCAGUUGGCCAUGAACAACGGCUGCGAGCGCUGAGCUUGUCGGCGACCGAUUCGCAACAAUCAACGGGAAAAGACGACCCUCAAGCCGCCGGGUGGACAAAAAGGGUUCAUAUUGGGCGAGCCCCUAUCGAGCGUGCACCUUGUGCUGGAAGAGUAUGUGCCCUUGAAAAAAACAUUAAGAGGAUAUGCAGAGAAGAAAACUGAUACCGUGGUGGUACCAUCUGUUGGAUACAACUUUGAUUCAUUGGGAGAGCCAUACGACCUCCACAACCUAUAUUCGUGGGAAAUUGGAUUCGAAAUAAGAUACGAAAAAAGUAGGCUCAACGUCAAGAGAACCAAAUGUAUGCAGGAGAUAGUAUGUGGAUACUCUGUGGGUCCAAAUUAAAUUCAUUGUCCCAUUCCUGCAAUUGUUUUGUGAAAAUGCACUGAAACAUUUGGCGAUGAACUUGUACUUUCAGGGCAAACCAAAAAGAGGAAAUACACGCACA
Long non-coding RNA from Triticum dicoccoides, 710 nucleotides. RefSeq lists it as uncharacterized. Lineage: Eukaryota; Viridiplantae; Streptophyta; Magnoliopsida; Poales; Poaceae. The record is from RefSeq and is a predicted model, not a curated record. The transcript is spliced from 3 exons.